CCUACGGGUGGCAGCAGUGGGGGAUAUUGCACAAUGGGGGAAACCCUGAUCCAGCGACGCCGCGUGAGUGAAUAAGUAUUUCGGUAUGUAAAGCUCUAUCUGCCGGGAAGCAAAAAGACGGUACCUGACUAAGAAGCCCCGGCCCACUACGGGCCCGCAGCCCCGGUAAUAAGUAGGGGGCAAGCGUUAUCCGGAUUUACUGGGCGUAAAGGGAGUGUAGACGGCACUACAAGUCCGGAGUGAAAUACCCGGGCUCAAACUGGGAACUGCGUUGGAAACUGAAUGGCUGGAGUGCAGGAGAGGUAAGCGGAAUGCCUGGUGUAGCGGUGAAAUGCGUAGAUAUUAGGAAGAACACCAGUGGCGAAGGCAGCUUACUGGAGAGUAACUGACGUUGAGGCUCGAAAGCGUGGGGAGCAAACAGGAUUAGAUACCCCAGUAGUC
RNAcentral lists this ribosomal RNA (441 nucleotides) under uncultured bacterium. RNAcentral's name for it is "partial 16S ribosomal RNA". It matches the Rfam family "Bacterial small subunit ribosomal RNA", at positions 338 to 795 of the family's 1533-position model. The record is from RNAcentral.